This 253-nucleotide ribosomal RNA is filed under the name uncultured bacterium. RNAcentral describes it as "partial 16S ribosomal RNA". It matches the Rfam family "Bacterial small subunit ribosomal RNA", at positions 524 to 776 of the family's 1533-position model. The record is from RNAcentral.
UACGAAGGGGGCUAGCGCUGCUCGGAAUCACUGGGCGUAAAGGGUGCGUAGGCGGGCUUUUAAGUCAGGGGUGAAAUCCUGGAGCUCAACUCCAGAACUGCCUUUGAUACUGAAGAUCUCGAGUCCGGGAGAGGUGAGUGGAACUGCGAGUGUAGAGGUGAAAUUCGUAGAUAUUCGCAAGAACACCAGUGGCGAAGGCGGCUCACUGGCCCGGUACUGACGCUGAGGCACGAAAGCGUGGGGAGCAAACAGG